CGUAACACGUAUGUAACCUACCUUCUUCAGGGGGAUAGCCUCUCGAAAGAGAGAUUAAGACCGCAUAACAUCAUUGAAUAGCAUUAUUUAAUGAUCAAAUAUUUAUAGGGUAAAGAUGGGCAUGCGGAACAUUAGCUAGUUGGUAAGGUAAUGGCUUACCAAGGCUACGAUGUUUAGGGGAUCUGAGAGGAUGACCCCCCACACUGGUACUGAGAUACGGACCAG
Molecule: ribosomal RNA, 225 nt
Filed under: uncultured bacterium
Lineage: Bacteria
Description: partial 16S ribosomal RNA
Rfam family: Bacterial small subunit ribosomal RNA
Source: RNAcentral